RNAcentral lists this ribosomal RNA (291 nucleotides) under uncultured microorganism. Its description in RNAcentral is "partial 16S ribosomal RNA". It matches the Rfam family "Bacterial small subunit ribosomal RNA", at positions 346 to 649 of the family's 1533-position model. The record is from RNAcentral.
GCGCACCAGUCGCGAAUCCUUCGCAAUGUGCGAAAGCAUGACGAGGCGACGCCGCGUGGAAGAUGAAGCCCUGCGGGGUGUAAAUUCCUUUUAUAGGGGAAGAACUUUUGUGACUGUACCCUAUGAAUAAGGAGCUACUAAUCACGUGCCAGCAGUAGCGGUAAUACGUGAGCUCCGAGCGUUAUCCGGAUUUACUGGGCGUAAAGCGUUCGUAGGCGCUCUGUUAAGUUUUCUGUUAAAUCUCUAAGGCCCAACCUUAGAGCUGCAGAAAAAACUGGCAGGGUAGAGGAU